Molecule: long non-coding RNA, 585 nt
Organism: Manihot esculenta (cassava)
Lineage: Eukaryota; Viridiplantae; Streptophyta; Magnoliopsida; Malpighiales; Euphorbiaceae
Exons: 2
Source: RefSeq, a predicted model, not a curated record
GCAGGACAGAGACGACUAUUCCAGUGGCGAGGACCAGUCAUAAUCAAUACGACAAGAGCGAGGGAGCUUUCUUCUGAGCCACUAUGAUUCUGUGGUUCGUCUCACUUUGGUUCGAGAUACUACACGAAAACCGCAGAGAGCUUCUUUGGAUCAUUGCUGGAACUUGCUUUUUCCGGAUAGCCAACUGGGCCGCCGUUCAAUUUUCAUCUCCGGACCAAUAUUGCAUACUCAAGCAAACAAAUGCAGGUCAGAUAGCCAAAUGCCUUGAAGGUGUUCGAGAUUUUGUGGUAGUUAGCACUGCCAGUGUAAUAGUGAAGGUUGAAUAUGAAAGCUGUUUAAAAGGAUGGUUCUCCUGGGUUGCUUGUUGUAUAAUUUAGGAUGGGGGAUGUGUAUGCACGAAGUUCAGAGAUGAAAAUCGUAAGCUUGGUGGCUGAUAGAUAGGGAGAAGAGAUAUACAAAAGCAAAUCAAUGUUCAAAUCUUACAGUUGAGAUUUAAGGGGAAUUGGUAGUUUUUGAACUCUGGUGAAAAUUUUGGAAGGUCUUGAAAGUAAAUGAAGAUUUUACAAUCAAGAAUGUUUAGCCAUC